AUCUACGGCAAUAUGAAAAACAUCUCAUUGUUCUUUUUGUUCUGGAUCGCGGAAGGUGUGUUUGGUGAAAUCGUCUCAGAGAAAGAGGGAAAUUCUAUUACGCUACGCUCUGGUCUCACUGAAAUAAAGAAAGACGAUGUGAUAGAUUGGAGGUUUGGAGGCAUUCUCAUAGCUAGAGUAAGAAAUAAUAAUAACCCCUCAGUGUAUGAGGAUGAACUUGGUGGGAAAUUUAAAGACAGACUGAAGCUGGACGGUCAGACUGGAGAUCUCAACAUUACAAACAUCAAAACCACAGACCAAGGAGAUUAUGAAGUAACCAACAGCAUCAACACCUUUAGGAAGACCCUCACUGUCAAUGGUGUGUGUCUAAUCCAUUUAAAUGUUAUAAUUGGCUUAUUUACAAAGUUUUCUGUCUGAUAAUUAAACUGCAUAUUUCACAUAAUUUUACAGUGAUAAAGGAAGAAAAACCUACAACAAGUGGUGAGUAUAAAUCUGCACAAUGAAUUAGGGCUGGACAAUAUAUCGAACGAUAUGAUCAUGCGCAUCUAAUCAUAAAAAGAUCUCAAUUCAAACAGACACAAUCUAAUUUCUAAAUAACUGUGAUUCACUGGUGUCUAAUAAUCAUUGACAGAGUCCUACCAGAACAUUCAAAUCUGAAAUUAAAAUUCUGUCAUCAUCAUCUAGUAGUUGUUUUAAACUAGUAGUUUUUUUUUUUUUUUUUUUUUUUUAAGUUGUUCUAAACCUGCAUGAAGUUCUGUUAAACGUAAUGGAAGGUAUUUUGAAGAGUGUAGGUAACCAAACGGAUGCCGGUCCCCAUAGACUUCCACAGUAUAAAAAAAUAAUACUAUAGGAGUCAAUGUGGAUCAGUUUGGUUUCCUAGAUUCUUUAAAAUAUCUUAUUUUGUGUUCAGCACAAGAAAGAAAGAAAUACAGGUUUGGAACAACUCGAGGGUGAGUAAAUGAUGACAGUUUUCAUAUCUAGGAGAACUAUCCCUUUAAUGCACUGAUAAUGUAAGUUAAGAGACAAUGACAUGACUCGCACCUGUUGGUCUAACAGCAACAGCAUAGUAACAACUGCUACAAUGUAUCAAGUAUUUUUAAUUGUUAAAUCUGCAUUAUGUUGUUCUUAUAAUAUUCUAAUUGAAUGAUGGGUUCACACUGCCAUAGACAAAGCAAAUCAAAGAUGGUGAUUUCCAGCAACGACUGAAAGUUGAACUUUAUGCAAAUGAGCAGUGAAGAGAUAUGCUGACUGCAGUGUUGGGAAGGUUACUUUGGAAAUGUAAUAGGUUACAGAUUACAAGUUGACCUAUUUAAAAUGUAAUAGUAGUGUAACUUUUUCAAUUACUUUAUUGAAGUAAAGUAACUGAUUACUUUUGAUAACUUUUAUGAUUACUUUUCUGAAAUCUCUAAUGAAUGUUUAUUUUCAGCUGUUAAUUAGUUUCAAACAUUUACACCACGCAGGGUUAACCUUACAACACUGUCAGACUUUCACAAUCCUUCAUCACCUGAAUUAAGAUGAUCACAUUUGAACACAUCCACCACAAAAUCAGACUUUACUGCCUUUUACUUUGAGAUUGAUCUGAAGAUCAAUGCAGAUUUAAAAUCAUAAGAAAUUGUUUACUGAUACUGUUCUUGAAACCAAAUCUUUGCAUAAACACUGCAUCUAACAAUGGUUUGGGAAAAAAAAUAGUUAAUUAAAAAAUAAUAAUAAAUAAAAGCAUAUCCAUCA
This is a long non-coding RNA of Cyprinus carpio (common carp), 1728 nucleotides long. The record is from Ensembl. Lineage: Eukaryota; Metazoa; Chordata; Actinopteri; Cypriniformes; Cyprinidae.